AUGCUCACUUCCGAAGCACAUAUUCUAAAACUGGAAUGGUACAGAGAUUAGCAUGGCCCCUGCGCAAGGAUGACAUGCACAUUCGUAAGAAGGAGGAAGAGAGU
Molecule: small nuclear RNA, 104 nt
Organism: Peromyscus californicus insignis
Lineage: Eukaryota; Metazoa; Chordata; Mammalia; Rodentia; Cricetidae
Source: RefSeq, a predicted model, not a curated record